Molecule: ribosomal RNA, 460 nt
Filed under: uncultured bacterium
Lineage: Bacteria
Description: partial 16S ribosomal RNA
Rfam family: Bacterial small subunit ribosomal RNA
Source: RNAcentral
CCUACGGGAGGCAGCAGUGAGGAAUAUUGGUCAAUGGACGAGAGUCUGAACCAGCCAAGUAGCGUGAAGGAUGACUGCCCUAUGGGUUGUAAACUUCUUUUAUAUGGGAAUAAAACGUUCCACGUGUGGGAUUUUGUAUGUACCAUAUGAAUAAGGAUCGGCUAACUCCGUGCCAGCAGCCGCGGUAAUACGGAGGAUCCGAGCGUUAUCCGGAUUUAUUGGGUUUAAAGGGAGCGUAGGUGGAUUGUUAAGUCAGUUGUGAAAGUUUGCGGCUCAACCGUAAAAUUGCAGUUGAAACUGGCAGUCUUGAGUACAGUAGAGGUAGGCGGAAUGCGUGGUGUAGCGGUGAAAUGCUUAGAUAUCACGAAGAACUCCGAUUGCGAAGGCAGUUCACUGGACUGCAACUGACACUGAGGCUCGAAAGUGUGGGUAUCAAACAGGAUUAGAUACCCUUGUAGUC